CUACGGGCGGCUCCAGUGGGGAAUAUUGGACAAUGGGGGAAACCCUGAUCCAGCAAUGCCGCGUGUGUGAAGAAGGCCUGCGGGUUGUAAAGCACUUUCGGUUGGGAGGACUGCUUCUAGCACUAAUAUUGUUGGAAGUUGACGUUACCUUCAGAAGAAGCACCGGCUAACUCCGUGCCGGCAGCCGCGGUAAUACGGAGGGUGCAAGCGCUAAUCGGAAUUACUGGGCGUAAAGCGCGCGUAGGCGGCUAGAUCAGUCGGGUGUGAAAGCCCCGGGCUUAACCUGGGAACUGCAUCCGAUACUGUCUAGCUUGAGUACAGGAGAGGAGAGUGGAAUUCCACAUGUAGCGGUGAAAUGCGUAGAUAUGUGGAGGAACACCAAUGGCGAAGGCAGCUCUCUGGCCUGAUACUGACGCUGAGGUGCGAAAGCGUGGGGAGCAAACAGGAUUAGAUACCCGGGUAGUC
This 465-nucleotide ribosomal RNA is filed under the name uncultured bacterium. Its description in RNAcentral is "partial 16S ribosomal RNA". It matches the Rfam family "Bacterial small subunit ribosomal RNA", at positions 339 to 795 of the family's 1533-position model. The record is from RNAcentral.